ACGGCAUGAUGGAGACAUUUUUGAAUGAGAUCCUUUAAUCGUUCCCAUGACUCAUGGAAUCGCUCACCAUCUUGUUGCGAAAAUCUAGUGAGAGCUCGUCUUAUCUGGUCAC
Molecule: non-coding RNA, 112 nt
Organism: Cephalotus follicularis
Lineage: Eukaryota; Viridiplantae; Streptophyta; Magnoliopsida; Oxalidales; Cephalotaceae
Source: Rfam